GAGCUCAACUCAAAUCGGACUUUCGCUUAAAUCUAAGUGCGAGGGCUAGCGAGAUCAAUUUAAAGCCAUACCUCACCCCGUCUGUCCAUAUUUGUAAGGACCGGAUUUCAGCGAGACUAGCUUAAGCAAUGACUACCCGUCCAAUCCAUAUCCAUCAUAUACCAUACAUAACACACACAUACAUCUCUAAAUUAUCCUCAAGGCAGUAAAUACAAGUAAUUAACAAUAAAUAAAUAUGCAACAACAAAAAUGCCCCUAAUAUAUUUUAACUAAUUAUAUGCAUAAAUAAAUAAAUAUUUAUAAAAAAAUGCAUGAGCAUGUCAGAUAUAUAAAUAAUAUUGAAAUUAAAAAAAAAUCAAUAUCUAACUUAUAGAUUAGUCGACUCGACUGUAGCUGGUCUGGCUGGAAGAAGAAAGAUGGUUGGCCUGAUCGCCUAUACAGACACACUGAUCUUUAUCAAAAUACUGACAAAAUUAACCAAUUAAUUUAAUUUACAAAUGCAAGAAUAAUUCUUAUAAUAUUGCUGAAAUUUUAGCAAAGUCCCCCCUAUAACUGAACUUAACCCAUUGCAAGAAAACUCAGCAAAAAGCAACACACAGGGCCUCAGGCCCACAAUAACAUCACAUGCUCAUCCGAGGCCUAUAAGAACCUAAUCUAACUCCAAUAGUCCAAACUCCAGCUUGGGUUCCUAACUCCUUUACAGUUUAAUUAAUUAUCAAAAACCCUUUGAAAAUUCCAAAAAUAUUCCUGGGGGCCCUUCUCAUCAUCUUAAAGUCUAUAAAAUUUAUUUUAAUUAUUUUUAGAAUACUAAGAAUAUUUUACAAAUUAAUUAGCUAGUCUAGAACUAGGUAAAAAUCACACAACUUGAGUUUAGGAUUACCUUUGCAAAAACUGCCACUUGAAAUGCGUCUGGAGCAUCUGAAAAUGCUGAAAUGAUUGUAAUAUUGACUAUAUUCUAGGAUGGACCACCGAGCAUUCAGAUCAGACUGGAAACUCGGUCCCAAGCGCAUGUGAGUUAUCGUCAAUCCGAGUACAUAUCUGGGAUGCCCAUGAGCUGCUAGUGAUGAAUCCGCUGACAGUUCGUCCAAACUCUGCUCUGGUCACCUGAUAUCCGCUGAUUUAGUUUAGGCCGUACAAUAAGCAUCUUCUCUUCGAUCUCCGAUUAACACGU
RNAcentral lists this unclassified non-coding RNA (1171 nucleotides) under Hevea brasiliensis (rubber tree). The record is from RNAcentral. Lineage: Eukaryota; Viridiplantae; Streptophyta; Magnoliopsida; Malpighiales; Euphorbiaceae.